RNAcentral lists this ribosomal RNA (474 nucleotides) under Triticum aestivum (bread wheat). RNAcentral's name for it is "partial small subunit ribosomal RNA". Lineage: Eukaryota; Viridiplantae; Streptophyta; Magnoliopsida; Poales; Poaceae. The record is from RNAcentral.
AUGUGUGAGAGAUACCGGCAAAUUGUGUCUGAUCAAUGGUGGGGUCGGGAGGAUGGUAGGAAGAAGAUGCAUUGGCGCUCGUGGGAGUGGCUGACUACACCAAAAUUCCUCGGAGACAUGGGCUUCCGGGAUAUGGCACUCUUUAACCAGGCUAUGCUCGGCAAACAGGGAUGGCGCCUUCUGACUGACCCUGGAUCGCUAUGUGCGGAGGUCUUAAAGGGGAGAUAUUUUCCAUUUACUGAUUUUUGGAAUGCUACUGCUCCCGGCUCGGCCUUGGCCACUUGGCGGGCCAUCCUGCAUGGUAGGGAUCUGCUCAAGAAGGGUGUGCAAUGGGUGAUUGGGGAUGGGAGAAAUACACAUAUCCUCAAAGAUCACUGGACCCCUUCUACUCCUCCCACUUUGCUGCAGCUCGUUUAUCUGAUUCCGGUAUCUGCAACUGUACACUGUUUGAUUGAUGAGGAUAAUGGUUGCUAG